CCGAAGCUUUGGGUUCAUACUUUGUAUGAGCGGUAGCGGAGCGUUCUGUAAGCCGUUGAAGGUGGAUCGAGAGGUCUGCUGGAGGUAUCAGAAGUGCGAAUGCUGACAUGAGUAACGAUAAUGGGGGUGAAAAACCCCCACGCCGGAAGACCAAGGUUUCCUGCCCCAUGCUAAUCAGCGUCAUGCCACUCCGAAAAAAAAGCCCCCACAUUCUGGGCUGCCUAGCUUUACGUUAAAUAUUUCGACUGCGACCGUUCGCCUGCUAGGCAAACUCACUCGCUUACAGAUUAUAGUGUUGAGCGUGGCCAUGUGUUCGAUUGUAUUUGGCUUAGGCAC
RNAcentral lists this ribosomal RNA (336 nucleotides) under Pseudomonadales bacterium. Its description in RNAcentral is "partial 23S ribosomal RNA". It matches the Rfam family "Bacterial large subunit ribosomal RNA", at positions 1194 to 1539 of the family's 2925-position model. Lineage: Bacteria; Pseudomonadati; Pseudomonadota; Gammaproteobacteria; Pseudomonadales. The record is from RNAcentral.